UGCCCUGGAAAUACUGAUUUGUAAGACCCCUCUCACUGCAAUGAAGGCUUAGGUAUUUGCCACUGACUGGUUUAUGGUUUUGUAUUCCUCACAUAUCCAUGCAUGGUGCUCAAAGAGCAAAUUUGUUGCUCCUUGGUUUAGAGUCAUUUCUUCACAGGCCAAAGGCCAGACUUGAUGACCUCUGGGCAAGAGUCCCUGGGCUCUGUUGAGCUGUGCUAGGACAGAAAGAGUCACAAGAGGCACCAGUCUUGAAUCCUUCUUUUCUCUUUUGUUGGCAGCCUGAGCCAUCAACUGCUAAAAAGUGGCGCCUUGACAACCUGGUGACCCAGAGAAAGCAAGGAUUGAUGCCAAAAGAGGGUCUCAGGGAAAUUGUCCGAGGGAAUGGACGUGAGGAGGGUGUGAGGCAGGAGCCGGGCAUCAGCAGCACUUCCUGCCAGCACCACUCCAAGGCAAGGGAGCCUCCUCCCAAGAGCUGUGGCCAAGUGACCAAGGAUACUCACAAGACCUCUGGCCAAACCACCAAGCAUUUUCACAAGACCUCUGGCCAAGUGACUCAGGCUCCUCUGGAAUUUCACGUUAUGAGCACACUCAGCUCUCUGAAGCCUCUUGUGCACACCAAGGAGGCCUUGCCCAGGAAGACUGUGGGUAUCAAAAGGCCCAGCAAGCCCCUGGUGCAUGACAAAUGGAAAAAAGUCCUGAAGCUGGAGAGUGAGCCUGGUCCUUUGGAGGUCAGAGACCAGUCUUGCAAGCACCAGCCCCGAGAAAAGAAAACAGAGGAGCUAAACUCCCUCACUAAAAAAGCCCUGCAGCCGGCACUUCACAAGCCCUCUGAGGAGAGAAAGGACAAGGGCUCCCAGCAGGCCAAAGCCAAAGGCUUUUUGGAUGCCAGGCUCCUGAGACAUGCUCAGGAAUGUGAUGCCCUCAUCCCCAGUAGCCACAGGCCUGGGGAAUGGCACAGGGAGAAAGUGCCCUUGCCUCCUGGGGAGAAGAAGUUGUUCUUGCCUUUGAGGAAGGCAGACUUGAAGAGGAAAGCCAUGAGGAGUCCUGAGGAGUCCCCUGGAAAGAAGAAGAGAGAAGACAAGGGGGAUACUCCCAGGAAGAAAAGGCAAUGAGACAAAACAUUCCCAACAAAAUACUUCCAGAUUUCAGCCCACAAAGGCUCCAAUCAACUGAAAGCAUCAGAAGACUCAUUCUAAAUGGAGAGAGAAAAUGUGUUGCUGCCACCACUGCCGGCCAUGACUGCUGUACAACGUGAACCAAAUUUGACCAUGAGGACCCAAAAGAGACCCAGAGCUGUGACUGACAACCUGGAGCUGCCUGCCGUGGAUAACCCUGCCAGGAAGCAGGAUGGAUUCUUAGCCAAGCACAGGAAAGUGGAGGAAGUCCCUGAGGAGCAAUCCCAGGCCAUCACCAUUGGUAUCCAGGAGGGCUGGUGGGAGUAUUCCUGCAACCCAGGCGUGCUGUGUGAUGCACUGCAGAAACAUCCUCUCAGAUAAGUGACCAUUUCUGACUGUAGGCAACUGCAACUAAAAGGAGUGUGUGUAUAAAAAGGAGUGUGUUUGUAAAAGGAAAUGGACUGCAAUCUGGGCCUUAGGUUGUAUAUAAGCCAGAGGAAAUUGCUGCAUUUAUGGGUUAAAAAAUUAGAAUUUACUUGCUUUUUAUAAAAAAUUUGGCAGUUUAAUGAUGGCUCGGGGUAUGGGGUCUAUGAUAUUUGGGGGUGAGGGAGCAUGUGUCAGUGUUCUGUCUUAGGCCAGGUUGUGCACAGUGCAUUAGCUGCCUUCUAACUGCUUGCUUUUUCCUGAUAAUUUUCCUGCUUCCAGCCCUCACUGCACUCCCAGCUAUUGAGCAAGGAAAUCUGCUGCUGAAUUUCUCUGUGUUUGGGAGAAGUGGAAUGGUGCAAAGCAUUGUGAGCUGCCAGGGAUCUGCAGGGCAUGAGAAGAAUCCUUUUCCAGUGCCUUCUGUGCCACAUGAAGCCAAGACAAGAAGACCUGAAGUUAGGACAAGUUUGCUGCUGAACAAAGCCCAGUGAGGGGACCAAGAGCCGGCCUGACCUCACACAGAGAAUGAUUCAGAACUUUCAGUGACCAAGUGCCCUAACUGGGUCUCCAGGAUGUAAAUAGUUCCAAGUUCUCUAGUCUAUCGAAACCUUACAAACACUUUUGUUUUAUUUACUGUUCAAUGCAAAGCACCUGCUUUUUUUUUUGUUUGUUUGUUUUGUUUUGUUUUAAAUACAGUUGUGUGUUCUUUUGGUUACUUUUGGACAUCCUUGUGGUUUUUGAGGAUAAUGCUUUUCUAUCUUGCAAAAGAAGGGAUGGGCUGUGGUAUCAGCCAUUAAGAUAAAACUGUGGAGAGAAGGAUGGUGUAAUAUUCACUAUAAAAUAACUGGUGGUUAAUGAAAUAAAAUAAAAAACCCCACAGCGUUAUGUGUACUAAAA
This is a long non-coding RNA of Passer domesticus (house sparrow), 2435 nucleotides long. RefSeq lists it as uncharacterized. The transcript has 5 exons. NCBI's taxonomy places the organism in Eukaryota, Metazoa, Chordata, Aves, Passeriformes, Passeridae. The record is from RefSeq and is a predicted model, not a curated record.